Molecule: ribosomal RNA, 172 nt
Filed under: Ruminococcus sp. AF45-4BH
Lineage: Bacteria; Bacillati; Bacillota; Clostridia; Eubacteriales; Oscillospiraceae
Description: partial 23S ribosomal RNA
Rfam family: Bacterial large subunit ribosomal RNA
Source: RNAcentral
CCGGAAGGGAUAAACGCUGAAGGCAUCUAAGCGUGAAGCCCCCCUCAAGAUGAGAUAUCCCAUCCGAAAGGAGUAAACCCCCUUGAAGACGACGAGGUUGAUAGGGCAGAGGUGGAAGUGUGGUAACACAUGGAGCUGACUGCUACUAAUAGGGUGAGGGCUUGACCAAGAA